UACGGGGGGGGCAAGCGUUGUUCGGAAUUACUGGGCGUAAAGGGCGUGUAGGUGGCCAACUAAGUCCGACGUGAAAUCCCCAGGCUUAACCUGGGAACUGCGUCGGAUACUGGAUGGCUUGAAUCCGGGAGAGGGAUGCGGAAUUCCAGGUGUAGCGGUGAAAUGCGUAGAUAUCUGGAGGAACACCGGUGGCGAAGGCGGCAUCCUGGACCGGCAUUGACGCUGAGGAGCGAAAGCCAGGGGAGCAAACGGG
Molecule: ribosomal RNA, 253 nt
Filed under: uncultured bacterium
Lineage: Bacteria
Description: partial 16S ribosomal RNA
Rfam family: Bacterial small subunit ribosomal RNA
Source: RNAcentral